UUUCUUGGGCUUUCCCUUAAGGCAAGAAGAUUAUUUAUCAGGAUUCCUUGAUUUGUGAAUUUGGUCAGCUUUUCUUCAAGUCCUAUCCCAUCCAGGGUCUCGUAUAGCUUCAACUUGGUGAUGUUAUUCCAGGCAAGUGUUCUGCUUUCCUCAGUCAAGUCUUCAAAUGACUCUUCACCUGGUCAUGUUUUGCUUAAAGCCCUUUGGUGACUCCUGAUGCCCCCGAUACCUCAGCAUCCAAAGAACACUCUAAAUAACAAAAGGAUAUCUAUGGAAAUAUCUGCAAUUAUUCUGAACAGCAAAGGUUCCUAGGACUCUGCUGGUCCCAUUUACCUGAUGCCCAUGGUGGGAGUUCUACAUCAUCAACCAUUUUGCCUCCUUGCCUCUUCCCCAAAUCCAACUUCAGACUAUUGACCAAGAAGCUGAAAUCAUCACCAUAAAACUCUGGAAUCAGCUGAAAGUUUCAUGGAUUAAAAAAAAACAAACACCAAACAAUGUUAAAAGCCAUUAAUCAGAAACCAUGAGGAUGGUGAAUCAUCAGCUUUCUCACUUACUGACCUCUUUAAAAUCAGUUGCACCAUCCAAGCAGUUUUUCCAGGUUUCUGCAAUACUAAAUAAAAAUAAUAAAGCAAUAAAACUAAGACUCACCAAGA
Long non-coding RNA from Monodelphis domestica (gray short-tailed opossum), 653 nucleotides. RefSeq lists it as uncharacterized. The record is from RefSeq and is a predicted model, not a curated record. Lineage: Eukaryota; Metazoa; Chordata; Mammalia; Didelphimorphia; Didelphidae.